Molecule: non-coding RNA, 1103 nt
Organism: Phascolarctos cinereus (koala)
Lineage: Eukaryota; Metazoa; Chordata; Mammalia; Diprotodontia; Phascolarctidae
Source: RefSeq, a predicted model, not a curated record
UUCAAGGUCCCUUUCCAGCUCUGCCAUUCUAUGGCUGUGACCCUUCAGGCUUUGCUCUGCUUUAGCUAAUCUGAUUAGCUAAUUCCCGCUGAGACGUUACUGGUUCUGAGGCUGCUUGAGUCCCCCAGUGUCUCAUUCCAGCCAGGAAAGCUGCCUGAUGAGCUGGUUUCGCAGAGGUAUUUUUAUGCCUUGAGCUUUCUGAAAUGGGCAGGAAACAGGAAAGGAUAAACCCAGCACCCGUUAAUUAAAUCCCAGCGCGGCUGAUGCUUCCCAGGAAGAAUGUCCAAACUCUUUAGUUUGGCCUUCGAGAGUUUCCAUGGUCUGGGGACUCUUCCCUUCUGAAGGCAUUUGUGAAGCAUCUACUCCUAUGUGUCAAGCACCUUGCUCGGGCUGGAAAUACAGACAAAAUGAGAGUUCCCUGCACUCGGGGAGUUUGUGUCCUAACGGAGGAGACAGCAUGUGUAUGUGUAUAUGUAUGUACAUGCCUAUGUAGAUGGAUAUAUGUGUAUAUGUAUAUAUAUGUGUAGAUGUGAAAUACAUACAGAAUCACCACGUCAUUGAAUUCGAGAGUUGAAAGGGACCACUAGUCCAACCCAUAAACAAAGGAGUCUUCGUUGUUGUCUAUCCUCUUCUUGAAGAGACAGUUUACUGCCCUUUUGGAUGGCUCUCAUCAUUUGGAAACUUUCCUGACAUCAAAUCUGAAUUGCUCCUUUCUAACUUCCAACCAUGAACUCCUAUUUCUGUAGUUUGGGUCAAACAGGGCUUUCUGUAUCUGUCUGAUGUAUCUGCUUCCUAAAGAAUGCAAUAUAUCCUGGUCCAACAGCUCCCUUUCAAAGUGUAAUGGACAAAAUGGUGGUGGAGGGGAGGAGAGAAAAAGACUUUCCUUCUCUGUGGCAGAGGUCUCCUCCACAAGUUGCUCUCUGACUUGUAAUAUCUUCAAAUCUUGAAUUCUGAAAUACGUCCAGGUUUUAGCUAUUUAAAACCUCGAGACAUGCCUCAUUUGCUUGCUUAGUCAAUAGAGUUGUUCCCUUCUUGACUCAAUCAGAGAAGUAUUAGCACUUCACAAAGGGAUGAGGCCUAUAGAUUACAUGCACACAUAUCGU